GUCGAGCGAGCAGUAUUCUUCGGAUGAAUUGCUGAGCGGCGGACGGGUGAGUAACGCGUGGGUACCUGCCCCAUACCGGGGGAUAACAGCUGGAAACGGCUGCUAAUACCGCAUAAGGCUGCAUGGCAAAAACUCCGGUGGUAUGGGAUGGGCCCGCGUCUGAUUAGGCAGUUGGCGGGGUAACGGCCCACCAAACCGACGAUCAGUAGCCGGCCUGAGAGGGCGACCGGCCACAUUGGGACUGAGACACGGCCCAAACUCCUACGGGAGGCAGCAGUGGGGAAUAUUGCACAAUGGGGGAAACCCUGAUGCAGCGACGCCGCGUGAGCGAAGAAGUAUUUCGGUAUGUAAAGCUCUAUCAGCAGGGAAGAUAAUGACGGUACCUGACUAAGAAGCCCCGGCUAACUACGUGCCAGCAGCCGCGGUAAUACGUAGGGGGCAAGCGUUAUCCGGAUUUACUGGGUGUAAAGGGAGCGUAGACGGCAAGGCAAGUCUGAUGUGAAACCCAGGGCUUAACCCUGGGGCUGCAUUGGAAACUGUCUGGCUCGAGUGCCGGAGAGGUAAGCGGAAUUCCUAGUGUAGCGGUGAAAUGCGUAGAUAUUAGGAGGAACACCAGUGGCGAAGGCGGCUACUGGACGGUACUGACGUUGAGGCUCGAAAGCGUGAGGAGCAAACAGGAUUAGAUACCCUGGUAGUCCACGCCGUAAACGAUGACUACUAG
This 721-nucleotide ribosomal RNA is filed under the name uncultured bacterium. RNAcentral's name for it is "bacterial SSU rRNA". It matches the Rfam family "Bacterial small subunit ribosomal RNA", at positions 61 to 819 of the family's 1533-position model. The record is from RNAcentral.